UCAAGAGCAAUCUGUUGUCCCAGGUAAGCAGUAGUCAGAAGACAGCCCAAAGUGACUUUUUCCCUUUGUGGCUACUCUUCUGUUAUCUGUAACCAAUCUGUGACAUUCUGGGGAAAGAGAGCU
Molecule: small nucleolar RNA, 123 nt
Organism: Oryctolagus cuniculus (rabbit)
Lineage: Eukaryota; Metazoa; Chordata; Mammalia; Lagomorpha; Leporidae
Source: Ensembl